Molecule: ribosomal RNA, 520 nt
Filed under: uncultured bacterium
Lineage: Bacteria
Description: bacterial SSU rRNA
Rfam family: Bacterial small subunit ribosomal RNA
Source: RNAcentral
UAGAGUUUGAUCAUGGCUCAGAACGAACGCUGGCGGCGUGCUUAACACAUGCAAGUCGAACGGAUUUUACCUUCGGGUAAAGUUAGUGGCGCACGGGUGAGUAACGCGUGGGUAAUCUGCCUAUCAGUGGGGGACAACUUGGAGAAAUCCAAGCUAAUACCGCAUACGAUCUAAGGAUGAAAGUGGGGGAUCUUCGGACCUCACGCUGAUAGAUGAGCCCGCGUCUGAUUAGCUAGUUGGUGAGGUAAUGGCUCACCAAGGCGAUGAUCAGUAGCUGGUCUGAGAGGACGACCAGCCACACUGGGACUGAGACACGGCCCAGACUCCUACGGGAGGCAGCAGUGGGGAAUUUUGGACAAUGGGGGAAACCCUGAUCCAGCCAUUCCGCGUGAGUGAAGAAGGCCUUCGGGUCGUAAAGCUCUUUCGGCAGGAACGAAAAGGUGGAGGCUAAUACCUUUCAUCAAUGACGGUACCUGAAGAAGAAGCACCGGCUAACUACGUGCCAGCAGCCGCGGUAAUA